UACCUUACAGUAACGGAUGAAAUAGAACCAACGACAGACAAAUCAACACUAUCUGAACUCACAUAUGAAGCGCCGGAUGACGCAGCUGAUGUUAUAUCACUAAUAGCAGGAAUCAUAGUAACUGUAAUUCAAGCAGUAAUCGAAGCCUUAAGUGGAGUCGUUGCUAUGACCAUAGUUACGACAAAAAUGUUCAAAGUGUUUCAAAACAGUAGUAGAAAAGAAGAGAUUGAUUGUAACGACGUUGAAAACUUUUACGAUACCGCCCAGGAAAUAAGAGACGAAAUGUGUGUACGGGAUGAUGAUGACGAUGCAAAUUUCCAGAUCAAUCUAGUAGCGAACAAUAUACCACCAUUGGAUCAUAAGAUGUAUAACAUGCAUUAAUUGAUGUUAAA
Mytilus trossulus (common blue mussel) is the source of this 392-nucleotide long non-coding RNA. RefSeq lists it as uncharacterized. The transcript is spliced from 4 exons. The record is from RefSeq and is a predicted model, not a curated record. NCBI's taxonomy places the organism in Eukaryota, Metazoa, Mollusca, Bivalvia, Mytilida, Mytilidae.